Molecule: ribosomal RNA, 441 nt
Filed under: uncultured bacterium
Lineage: Bacteria
Description: partial 16S ribosomal RNA
Rfam family: Bacterial small subunit ribosomal RNA
Source: RNAcentral
GCUACGGGAGGCUGCAGUGGGGAAUAUUGGGCAAUGGGCGCAAGCCUGACCCAGCAACGCCGCGUGAGCGAUGAAGGUCUUCGGAUUGUAACGCUCUGUCGCAGGGGACGAAGUAUGACGGUACCCUGUAAGAAAGCCCCGGCAAACUACGUGCCAGCAGCCGCGGUAAUACGUAGGGGGCUAGCGUUGUCCGGAAUUACUGGGCGUAAAGGGAGUGUAGACGGCUUGUCAAGUUAUGUGUGAAAGCCUGCGGUUUAACCGUAGAAUUGCACUUAAAACUGACUCGCUAGAGUGCAGGAGAGGUGAGUGGAAUUCCUAGUGUAGCGGUGGAAUGCGUAGAGAUUAGGAGGAACACCAGAGGCGAAGGCGGCUCACUGGACUGUAACUGACGUUGAGGCUCGAAAGCGUGGGGAGCAAACAGGAUUAGAUACCCGAGUAGGC